AGUGAUUCCAUUAGAGAAGCUGGUUCCCAGCCCUCACUCGAUACCACAAGCGCCCAACCCACGGGAUCAGAAGGGCUUGUGCAAGGAGAAUUUCCUGUUCUGCUGACUCAUCUCCUGCAACAAGAUAACCAAGAAUUACUCUCCUGACAUGAUGUAGAUGGGUGUUCAUUAUGCCAUCCAGAAAAUUUCUCAAGUAUGGAGUGAAGAGACGCCCUCCGGAAAUUCAGACAGAUUAAUCCAGGGUUGGAUUUCAUAAAUAAAUAUAUAAAUAUCAAAAACUUUGCAAGAAAAUAAAAAAAGCCAACUGGAGCAGCAGCCAGGCAUCCGACAGUAUUCGUUUGGAUUCUUAAUCCUGUGCCAGAGGAAAGCAUGCCCUUGGCUUUGACCUGUUUUGUAUUUCCAGUCUUCACUUCUGUGUUCAGCCUGGACCUGCUGUACCCUCAAUUACCAGCUUUGGCUUUUGCUUGUGGACAACACCCAAAGGAGGCACUCCCGGGUCACACCUCCAUAACCGGUUGCACCUGUGGAGGGGUGCGAGGAAGUGGAGCUGGAGCUGGGCCUUAAGGCUAGUGUGGGACAUAGACAAGGGUAGGAAGCAGAAGAGGGCAUUGCACAUAGGAGGAAUGCUCUGAGGAAGGAAGCAGAAUGAAAAAUGUGAAGGGUGUUUGGGAAAACAUGCAGUGGUCGAUUUGCUGGGAACAGAUGGUUUGUGGUGGGGAAUGUUGAAGUAAGGCUGGAAAGGGAGCUUGGUGUUCUUCA
Molecule: long non-coding RNA, 759 nt
Organism: Choloepus didactylus (southern two-toed sloth)
Lineage: Eukaryota; Metazoa; Chordata; Mammalia; Pilosa; Megalonychidae
Exons: 3
Source: RefSeq, a predicted model, not a curated record